GACGAACGCUGGCGGCGUGCCUAACACAUGCAAGUCGAGCGGGGUUGAAGCGAGAGGUAACUCGAGUUUCUACCUAGCGGCGGACGGGUGAGUAACGCGUGGGCAACCUGCCUCAAGGUCUGGGAUAACAGCCCGAAAGGGCUGCUAAUACCGGGUAUGCUUGUGGCCUCGCAUGGGGCUAUGAGCAAAGGGGAAACCCGCCUUGAGAUGGGCCCGCGUCCCAUCAGCUAGUUGGUGAGGUAACAGCUCACCAAGGCGACGACGGGUAGCCGGCCUGAGAGGGUGACCGGCCACACUGGGACUGAGACACGGCCCAGACUCCUACGGGGGGCAGCAGUGGGGGAUCUUGCACAAUGGGCGAAAGCCUGAUGCAGCGACGCCGCGUGAGCGAAGAAGGCCUCGGUUGUAAAGACUCUGUCUGGAGGGACGAAGGAAGUAGACGGUACCGUCCGGAGGAAGACCACGGCUAACUAACGUGCCAGCAGCCGCGGUAAACACGAGAGUAA
Molecule: ribosomal RNA, 506 nt
Filed under: uncultured bacterium
Lineage: Bacteria
Description: bacterial SSU rRNA
Rfam family: Bacterial small subunit ribosomal RNA
Source: RNAcentral